RNAcentral lists this ribosomal RNA (303 nucleotides) under uncultured bacterium. RNAcentral's name for it is "partial 16S ribosomal RNA". It matches the Rfam family "Bacterial small subunit ribosomal RNA", at positions 507 to 809 of the family's 1533-position model. The record is from RNAcentral.
AGCAGUAGCCACGGUAAUACGGAGGGUGCAAGCGUUAAUCGGAAUUACUGGGCGUAAAGCGUGCGUAGGCGGCUUUUUAAGUCGGAUGUGAAAUCCCUGAGCUUAACUUAGGAAUUGCAUUCGAUACUGGGAAGCUAGAGUAUGGGAGAGGAUGGUAGAAUUCCAGGUGUAGCGGUGAAAUGCGUAGAGAUCUGGAGGAAUACCGAUGGCGAAGGCAGCCAUCUGGCCUAAUACUGACGCUGAGGUACGAAAGCAUGGGGAGCAAACAGGAUUAGAUACCCGUGUAGUCCCUGUCUCUUAUAU